Molecule: ribosomal RNA, 532 nt
Filed under: uncultured bacterium
Lineage: Bacteria
Description: bacterial SSU rRNA
Rfam family: Bacterial small subunit ribosomal RNA
Source: RNAcentral
AAUAGAUACCCCGGUAGUCCAUGCCGUAAACGUUGGGCGCUAGAUGUGGGGACCAUUCCACGGUUUCCGUGUCGCAGCUAACGCAUUAAGCGCCCCGCCUGGGGAGUACGGCCGCAAGGCUAAAACUCAAAGAAAUUGACGGGGGCCCGCACAAGCGGCGGAGCAUGCGGAUUAAUUCGAUGCAACGCGAAGAACCUUACCAAGGCUUGACAUAUACGAGAACGCUCUAGAAAUAGAGAACUCUUUGGACACUCGUAUACAGGUGGUGCAUGGUUGUCGUCAGCUCGUGUCGUGAGAUGUUGGGUUAAGUCCCGCAACGAGCGCAACCCUCGUUCUAUGUUGCCAGCGGUUCGGCCGGGAACUCAUAGGAGACUGCCGGGGUCAACUCGGAGGAAGGUGGGGAUGACGUCAAAUCAUCAUGCCCCUUAUGUCUUGGGCUUCACGCAUGCUACAAUGGCCGGUACAAAGGGCUGCAAUACCGUAAGGUGGAGCGAAUCCCAAAAAGCCGGUCUCAGUUCGGAUUGAGGUCUGC